CAAGGUUUCCGUAGGUGAACCUGCGGAAGGAUCAUUCGUGAUGGACGCAAGUCCUUAACAAAUCCUUUAACACCUGUGAACCGUGGCCCUCGGGCCGUUUCAAACAUCAGUGUAAUGAACGUGAUUUAUUUAUAAAACAAAUAAAACUUUCAACAACGGAUCUCUUGGCUCUCGCAUCGAUGAAGAACGCAGCGAAAUGCGAUAAGUAAUGUGAAUUGCAGAAUUCAGUGAAUCAUCGAAUCUUUGAACGCACCUUGCACCUUUUGGUACUCCGAAAGGUAUGCCUGUUUGAGUGUCAUGAAAUCUCAAUCCCCUCGGGUUUUGUUACCCGGGGUGGACUUGGACUUGGGCGCUGCCACCCGUGGCUCGCCUCAAAUGUGUUAGUGGGAUGUAGUGUCCGCGACCAGACGGGGGAAAAAUUUAGUCGUAACAAGGUUUCCGUAGGUGAACCUGCGGAAGGAUCAUUCGUGAUGGACGCAAGUCCUUAACAAAUCCUUUAACACCUGUGAACCGUGGCCCUCGGGCCGUUUCAAACAUCAGUGUAAUGAACGUGAUUUAUUUAUAAAACAAAUAAAACUUUCAACAACGGAUCUCUUGGCUCUCGCAUCGAUGAAGAACGCAGCGAAAUGCGAUAAGUAAUGUGAAUUGCAGAAUUCAGUGAAUCAUCGAAUCUUUGAACGCACCUUGCACCUUUUGGUACUCCGAAAGGUAUGCCUGUUUGAGUGUCAUGAAAUCUCAAUCCCCUCGGGUUUUGUUACCCGGGGUGGACUUGGACUUGGGCGCUGCCACCCGUGGCUCGCCUCAAAUGUGUUAGUGGGAUGUAGUGUCCGCGACCAGACGUAAUAAGUUUCGUCGGGUUCGGCGCCUCCGCCCGCUCACAACCAACCAAUAUCUUCGGAAUAUCUUCUGACUCUGACCUCAAAUC
RNAcentral lists this unclassified non-coding RNA (925 nucleotides) under Tremellaceae sp. MK1-2020. Its description in RNAcentral is "sequence contains 18S rRNA gene, ITS1, 5.8S rRNA gene, ITS2, 28S rRNA gene". The stretch from base 145 to 298 matches the Rfam family "5.8S ribosomal RNA". The record is from RNAcentral. Lineage: Eukaryota; Fungi; Basidiomycota; Tremellomycetes; Tremellales; Tremellaceae.